UUUUUUUUCCUUGUUUGUGAUUUAGCCUUCAACCUCACCUCCUGCCCCUCUCCACCCCUCCAUCCUCACCCCUCCUACCCCAAGGCCCAGCCCACCCCAAACCACUCCCCAUCCAAAAAGCAUGCACCACUGCCUUUGUGACAGCCCAGACAGCUGUCACCCUUUCCCCCAAAAGUUCUCUGCUCUUACUUGUGUGGCAAUACUCACCUGAUCAUCCAGUCACAUCUGCAACAUUUAGGGAUAUUUCCCCAAGGUUCAUCUGGCCUGCUUUUCAUAUGGUCACAAAGGCACUCCCAUCUAGUGACCAUAAUAAAACAAGGCUCGUUAAUUUACAAAUACUGACACAGGGUUAGGUGGUCACUACUUACAAAGAAAUAUAUAUGGCUUUUUAGUAUUUUCCUUAAUAGUGUGAAGAAAUCAUUCACCAAAUACGUACUGAGCACUUCCUCUGUUCCUUGCACAUGCUGGGUACUGGUGACAGAGCAGGGGACAAGACCGGUGAGGAGACCGCCAUCCAGAGCUUACAAAAUCUUCUGGGUGGGGAAUCAGAUAAACACAGAAAAGAAAGAAACCUGGAGUUCCCGUCGUGGCGCAGUGGUUAACGAAUCCGACUAGGAACCAUGAGGUGGCGGGUUCGGUCCCUGCCCUUGCUCAGUGGGUUAAUGAUCCGGCGUUGCUGUGAGCUGCGGUGUAGGUUGCAGACGCGGCUCGGAUCCCGCGUUGCUGUGGCUCUGGCGUAGGCUGGUGGCUACAGCUCCAAUUCGACCCCUAGCCUGGGAACCUCCAUAUGCCACGGGAGCGGCCCAAGAAAUAACAACAACAAAAAUUUUAAAAAAUUAAAAAAAAAAGAAAGAAACCUGACCAUGAGAGGCUCUGGUAACACCUCAUCAGCAAGAAUGCAUCAGCAGGAAAGGAUUCCACAAGUGGAGGGAGCAGCUUAGAUUAAGGCAAGGUCGGCUUCUCGGAAGAGGUAUCCUUUGCACGGACUUCUAAUGGAUGAACACAACCAGCCAUGAACACGGGAACAAGAGCACAUCCUGGGCCAAGGGGAUAGCGAGGACCAAGGCCUGGAUGUGGGAAAGGGCUCGGUGGGUAUUUGAAACAGAAAAAAAGCAGAGCGUGGCUUCUGUGAAAAGUUGAGAGCCGGAGAGCUGGGGCUGUUUUAACAAUCAAUGAGAGAAAGCGUGUGGAGUGUUUAGUGGAUGCUCACUAAACGCUCUCAAUCCUCAUCAGCAUCCUUUGCGUUUGCAGAGUUAGACAGACCAUGCAGGUCACUGCAGCCCAGGGUAGGAAAUCUGGGUUUUAAUCUAAAAAUAACUGCGAGUCACAGAUGCACAUUUGCAGGUAAGUGACAUGAUCUGAUUUAUUGUUUUAAAAAGAUACCCUGGAGUUCCUGUCGUGGCCCGGGAGUUAACGAAUCUCACUGGGAUCCACGAGGAUGCAGGUUCGAUCCCUGGCCUUCCUCAUUGGGUUAAGGAUCCGACGUUGCUGUGAGCUGUGGUGUGGGUCACAGGUGCGGCUCAGAUCCAGUGCUGCUGUGGCUGUAGUGUAGGCUGGCAGUUACAGCUCCGAUUCAUCUCCUAGCCUGGGAACCUCCAUAUGCCAUGAGUGUGACCCUAAAAUAAGUAAAGAAAUAAAUAAAAAGAUCCCUGGCUGCUCGGUGGGGAGAUAUUAGCGUGGGACAAGAGUGGAAGCAGGGUGGGUGGUGAGUGAGGGGGUAUUUAUAAGAAUCUGGAUCUUAACAACGUAAAAUGUCUGAACUCCCAUCUCUUAGGUUGAUCUUAAUACAAUUCAUAAAACAAUGAAAUUGUAUGUGCUUUUGAGGUGGCUACCCACUUUCGACAGAAAUGCUUGUAUCUUCUGACGUUCAUGUUUAAUGAUGGACAAUGCUGCUCUCUCGAGAAUGCUGCUGGGGUUUUUGCAACACCAAAGACCAGUUCUGAUUCUCCAGGCACCAGCUGGGUGGCCCGCAGCUCAGUUCACUUCUGACACUAAUAACCCAGCGUUUGCAUCAGAUCCCACAAGUUAAAGGGCACAGUUCCACCAGACCGGCCUCACUUCAAAUGCCAGUCACAAGUCCCAAGGCACCUGUAGUUCUGACUGACUGGCUAUAAGUUGGGAGUUCUCACCACCCCCUCUUCAGGUUUGAUAAUUUGCUGGAAUGGCUCACGGAACUCAGGAAGACACUUCACUUACUAUUAUUGAUCCAUGAUAAUCGCUGGAGCUCAGGAACAGCCAAAUGGAAGAGAUGCAGAGGGCCAGGAAGCAGAGGGCAGUGCAUGAAGGUUUCCGGGCAUGCCACCCUCCCAGUACCUCCAUGUGUCACUGAACCAGAAGCUCUCCAAACCCUGUUGUUUAAGGGUCUUUUUUUUUUUUUUUUUUUUUUUUUCUGGAGGUCUCAUUGUGUAGACAUGAUGGGUUAUUAAGUCAAUUGCUAGCCCCUCUCCCCUCCUGGAGGUUGAGAAUGAGGCUAAAAGUGCCAGGCUUCUAAUCAAGAUGUGGUCUUUCUGGCAACAUGCCCCAUCCUGAAGCUAUCUGGGGACCCACUGCAGGUACCUCAUGAGAACAGAAAACAUUCCUUGCAUCCCCAUCACUCAGCAAUGCAGUCCCUGCUGUAGCCCAGUGGGUUAAUGAGCCGGCUUGUCUGUGGCUUUGCUGGUUUACAGGGGGUUAAGAAUCCAGUAUUGCUGCUGCUGUGGCAUAGGCUGCAGCUCCAACUCAGAUUUGAUCCCUGGCCCGGGAACUUCCAUAUGCUGCAGGUGAAGCCAAAAAAAAAACUUUUUUUUUACUUCCUAUCACUCAGGAAAUUCCAAAGGAUUUAGGAAUUCUGCGUCAGGAACUGGAAAUAUAUUUCUAAUUAUGCGACACCCACCAUUGGACCAAUAUAAAUACUUGAUCUAUUUGAUCUGAGAAUAAUAUUCUUGGUCAUGGCAUCUAAACGGAAAUAUGUCAAUGGUCUAUAAAUAACUGCUCAGAUCUGCUGUGCCAGGUAUUUUGUAACAGCUCACUCACUUCCCUGGGUAUUACCUUCAGAAGACCAUUAGCUUCCAAAGAACAGAGCUGAUGAUUUUUUUGGUCUUUGUUUUGGCAAAUGCUUAGCACAGUUCUUAGCACAGAGUAGGUCCUCAAUAAAUGUUUCCCAAGUGCACUGACGAACACCAUGUGUUAUGCACUGACUGCCUGGGUCCCCUUCCUGAUUUGUAUGUGGAAAUCCGAACCCCUAACGUGAUAGUAUUAGGAGGUAGAGUCCUUGAGAGAGAGCGAGGUCGUGACUAUGUCUCACUCUCCGUGGACGGGAUCCGUGCCCUUAGAAGAAGGGGGAACAGCCUGCAGGCACCCACCAAGGAAGGCCAGGGGAGAAUACAACCCACGGAAGAGGGCCAACAAGGACUCAGCCAGGCUGGCACCCUGGUCUCCAACUUCCAGCCUGAGAAAUAAAUGCCUGUUUGGGCCCCAUCUGUAGCAUAUGGAAGUUCCCAGGCUAGGGGUCAAAUGAGAGCUAGAGCUGGCGGUCUCUGCAGCUGUAGCUCCGAUGCCAUGCAGGCCACAGCAACACUGGAUCCGAGCUGCAGCUGUGCCCUACGCCACACCUCAUGGCAACGCCGGAUCCUUAACUCACUGAGCAAGGCCAGGGAUCGAAGCCCCAGCCUCAUGGAGACUAUGUCGGGUUCUUAAGCCACUGAACCACAAUGGCAACGCCAAUGCCUGUUGUUUCCACCACUCAUCCCGUUGUGUUUGUUACAGCAAUCCGAGAUGACGGAGACAUUAUAGAAGCACCUUAGUAAGAUACAGUCCAAUCCCUCAAGGAGCUUGUAAUCCAUUUAGGAAGAAAAUAGAGACGCAAAAUACCUAAAUGUUAAUUAUCUGCAAAACCCUCAUGGGAGAGAGGUGCUCAGACUUCGGGGGUAACCUGGGUUCUGAGCACACUGGCUGUGUGCCCCUUGGAGAGUUACUCCACCUCUCUGAGUUUUCCUGUCACUUUCUGUGAAGGGUGGCUAUGAGAAGUAGAUAAUCCACAUAAAGUGCUAAGAUCAGUGCUUGGAACACAGAAAAUGCUAUCAAUUUAAACCCCAAAGAGGGUAUGAUUUUUUGUGCUGAGUAGCACUGAUGUCAAGGCUGAAGUGUUUGUUUGGGUUAAUAAGAAACAAGAUAAAUAAUGAGAUGACGGAAUGCAUGCACGGUUUGGCAUCCCGUGAAUCCUGGAGGCUUGACAGCAAUCCGCCCAGAGGUCUCCUGUCUUCAAAAGAGCAACUGGCAUUGGCAGCCCCCUCCAAGACACAGGGACCUUGGCUGGGUCCUCCCUGGGUCCCUGCUGUGGAGUGGCAGCUUGGCAAGGAUCCAGGGCAUGGCUGCGCCUGAACCACCUCCAAGAAGCCACUCACUCUGCUUCUGGCUGGAGGGUGGUUUGGGUGACCACGAGUGCCAAUUUUAGCUGGGCGCUGGCCACGUGUUGGCAGAGAGGCUCUGGGAAAAUGUGACCUCUUGUUUCAUUAAAUCCUGCCUGGGCCCAUCGCCAGAGCUGGCUUUUGGCCCCUGCCAUGGAGCUGGUGCAGCGCAAUGAAGCAGUGGCUGCUUCUCGGGCAGACUGAUUCACUCGCCUGGGGUCCUACACAGGUGAUUAGUGACAAGGAGGCCACCGCUGCCCACCUCACUUCUCCUGCAGCUGGAACGUGGUGCCCUCCCAGCACGUUCCCUUGUUGUCUUGGCAAUACCAAGCUUUUCAAAAGCUUCAACAAGGCUCAGAGCCAGUCCAGCCUGCCUCUCUCAGUCUCACCCCAACCCCUUCCAACCAUAGUAUCAAAGGGAGGUUGUACUUCCAAAAAUCCAGUUGGGGGAGUCCAGCUUCUCCAUAAAGGUGGUGUGUGAAGCCCCUGACACAUGAAAUUCUUCAACCGCGCUGCAAAUGCUACUGACACAUUUCUAGAUCAUGACACUAUCGCAUAACCUGGACCUGAUUAUGGGGUGAAGUGCCCAUCUUCCAAUGCUUGUCUUUGCGCUCCAAGUCAAGUUCAAUUCAGCCUGCUGCUCUUCCCCUCAAUCAUCUUUUAUUUCUUUUCUCUAUUUGUGGAAUAUGUCACUUAAAUUGGAAUUUAUCCAAUAUCUUCCGUUUGGUGGACGGAGGCAGAAGGUCAUGAUGACGGAGUCUGAGUUGGAAUCUCAGCCUCAUCGUUUACUAACAGGUGACCUGGAGCAAGUUCCAUAAACUCUCUGAUGCCUUAUCUGUAAAAAUGGGGCUUUUAUGAAGCACAAAUGAGAUCGUAUGUGUAAAAGACUUCAGAGAGCACCUGAAACGUAGGAAACACUCAUUGAAUGGUUGCCACUAAUAUUCUUUUUGUGUUGUUUUGCUUUCUAGGGCUGCACCUGCAGCAUAUGGAGGUUCCCAGCCUAGGGGUCGAAUCAGAGCUACAGCAGCUGGCCCACACCCCAGCCACAGCAUCUCGGGAUCCAAGCCACGUCUGUGACCUACGCCACAGCUCAUGCCAACGCUGGAUCCUUAACCCACUGAGCAAGGCCAGGCAUCAAACCUGCAUCCUCAUGGACAGUGGUCAGAUUUGUUUCUGCUGAGCUGCAAGGGAACUCCACCAAUAAUAUUCUUAUUCCCAAAGCCUCUGGUCAAUCAUUCAUGUCAUUACCCCUUUUCUUUCUUUAGCUCCACUCCUUACAAACAUAACAGGCAUUUAGUUCAUUCACUUAUCAGACUUUUUAAUGGAAAAGUUAAGUACUUUAAAAAAAAAAAAAAA
Molecule: long non-coding RNA, 5741 nt
Filed under: Sus scrofa (pig)
Lineage: Eukaryota; Metazoa; Chordata; Mammalia; Artiodactyla; Suidae
Description: lncRNA (ENSSSCG00025015064.1)
Source: RNAcentral